GUUAGAGAUCAGUGGUUACGGGUGGUUACGGUGUUGAUGAGGGGAAUUGUUGAGAUAUUUGCGUGGUGAAAUAACAUUUGAACAGUGGUUUGAUGGGUUUGGCACAAGGAAUUACUGGAAGAUGUGGAUAAGUUAGAAGAUGAGACAACAUGCAUUGAUGAGGCCACAACUAGUGGUUAACAAGAGCAACAAGAUGUCCCCAGCAGUGGUGACAGUGAUGAGGAGGAUGACAGAGUAACAUUGUCAUCUUAUGCAGUUGUUGAUGAAGCAAUGACAUCAACAGGAAUUGUUGGGGAGGAUUCAUUUACUUUAGGAGCACCAGUUCCUAUUAAUAGCUGCCCAUCUACACCCGAUAGGACAUAUAUGAGUGGAUGAAACUGGCAGAGAUGUGUCUAGAACAGAACGAUACAAGACAGGCUAUUAACUGCUAAACUAAAG
This is a long non-coding RNA of Anneissia japonica, 438 nucleotides long. RefSeq lists it as uncharacterized. The record is from RefSeq and is a predicted model, not a curated record. The transcript is spliced from 4 exons. NCBI's taxonomy places the organism in Eukaryota, Metazoa, Echinodermata, Crinoidea, Comatulida, Comatulidae.